Camelina sativa (false flax) is the source of this 546-nucleotide non-coding RNA. The record is from RefSeq and is a predicted model, not a curated record. NCBI's taxonomy places the organism in Eukaryota, Viridiplantae, Streptophyta, Magnoliopsida, Brassicales, Brassicaceae.
GUUAGGAUUCUCUUGGCGGUUCUGUUAACAGGUGAGUCUCCCAGUUGUUAGAAGGUUUGUUCAGUCUGUUAGUGACCACGCCGUUGGAGUGGGAGUCAUUUGUGGAGGAUGUUUGUUCAGUUGACUGGUGGACUCGAGGAGACUUAUUGCAGAUCAAACUCAAAGGACAAGAGUUUCAGAAUCUUGAAGCUCUUCACUUCAUAGCUCCAGCUUUUGCCUGCACCCCAAAGAAGCACACUACAUCUGUCAAAAUUUUAAGGGAUGACCUGCCCAACAAAUAACAACAAGUCAACAACAAGUCAACAACAACAAUGGGAAAAUCAUCUGAUCCAAACAUUGUUGAUGAAUACUAUUUGGUGGAAGUUCGUGUCUUUUCAAGUGAUGGAUGUUCAGUGGACGUUAUUUUGAUGGCGUUUCUUCUUCAACUCUCAUCAGAUUUGACUAGAAACUCCACAACAAAAAAGCUCUCUACAAAAACAACUCAUCAUCGGAGUGGAGAAGAAGUUCAAUCAUCGAUGCAAAGACUCCAUUGCUAAUUUCGAACAA